UACGUAGGGUGCGAGCGUUAAUCGGAAUUACUGGGCGUAAAGCGUGCGCAGGCGGUUUCGUAAGACAGACGUGAAAUCCCCGGGCUCAGCCUGGGAACUGCGUUUGUGACUGCGAGACUAGAGUGUGUCAGAGGGGGGUGGAAUUCCGCGUGUAGCAGUGAAAUGCGUAGAGAUGCGGAGGAACACCGAUGGCGAAGGCAAUCCCCUGGGCCUGCACUGACGCUCAUGCACGAAAGCGUGGGGAGCAAACAGGAUUAGAUACCCCAGUAGU
Molecule: ribosomal RNA, 271 nt
Filed under: uncultured bacterium
Lineage: Bacteria
Description: partial 16S ribosomal RNA
Rfam family: Bacterial small subunit ribosomal RNA
Source: RNAcentral